Sus scrofa (pig) is the source of this 854-nucleotide long non-coding RNA. RefSeq lists it as uncharacterized. NCBI's taxonomy places the organism in Eukaryota, Metazoa, Chordata, Mammalia, Artiodactyla, Suidae. The record is from RefSeq and is a predicted model, not a curated record.
ACGUGGGGCUGCGGGAGGGGCCAGCUCCCCGGGGGCGCCUCCCUGCGGAGCAGGAGCGCCCCGGACGCCACCUGAUCUCACUGGGGUCCCGAAAGGUCGCUUUCAAGCGACCCUUUUGAAGACGGGCGGAAAGAAUCUGCUGCAGAAGCCUGGCUCCGAUGGAGAGCCAGCUGCUUUUUGCAGACAGGCUGGGGCCGUGGGCAGUGAGGAGGGCCGGCAGUUCCAGGGGGAAGACCUUUCCCUCCUGGGAGGUUGCACCUGGCUGCAGGCGCUGCCUGGAGUGGAAGGUGAGGACGCCUGGGUGGCUGAUCUGAAUCCAAAGUCUGCAGCCCUCACCUGCUCAGGAAGCAGAAAGACGACCGGACAUAGCACUGAACACCAGCCUUUGAAAACAAUGCAAGCUUGCCCCUCCCCUGAUCCUUAUCUGCAGCCCUGUUUUUCACUCCCCAAACUAUAAAACUCUAAAACGCCUCCCAAUCUCUGCUAAGGGGGUGGCACCGUCUUCAAGGCACUAGACUGCGGCGACCUUCCUUUGCCUGGCAAAGCAAUAAAGCUAUUUUUAUCCCUUCACCCAAAUCCCUGUCUCCACGUUCCCAUUCAGCACUGGUGAGCAGAGAUCACGUUGGGGUGACAAGGUCAGGGCAAGUUGCUGUGCCUGAAGCACCGUGGAGCCAAACAAAUCCACACAAUGGAGUUUGGAGCAGCGAAAGGUUUAUUAUGGGCCAUGCAAGGAGAUUGCGGCGAGGGGGGGGGGGGGGGGGGCUUGCUCCGCCCCAAAAGCCCAAACUCCCGAACAAAAUUGUAAAGCAUUUUUUAAAAAUUUUACUUUAUUUUAUAAUUACUUUUUUUGGGCU